This is a long non-coding RNA of Melitaea cinxia (Glanville fritillary), 647 nucleotides long. RefSeq lists it as uncharacterized. The record is from RefSeq and is a predicted model, not a curated record. The transcript is spliced from 3 exons. Lineage: Eukaryota; Metazoa; Arthropoda; Insecta; Lepidoptera; Nymphalidae.
CUUCAAUUUUCUUUAAUUUUUACUCAACUACAAACGAAAAUCUUUUCACUCAAACCUCUAUAGAGGUCCCUCAAUCAUUUUAGACGUAUGCAGUAAUUGUGAAGACCAUCCAUCGGUAACUGGCUCGCACUGAAUCACUGGUUUUCUUACUUUCACUGCAUUUGAUACUGUUAUAUAUUACGAGUAUGUCAUAUUAAUUUAUCACAAACUAAAAAAGUGAUGACUAUAAAUCGCUACGGAAAUUAUCGUUCAAUUAACCUGUAAUUGUAAUUAUUGAGGCUUUCAAAUCUAUUUUAUAGAGGUAAAAUUCAUGACGAUAAUUGCUCGCAAUUUAUUAUUUUUUAUAUUUUUAAUUAUUUUUUUUCUAGCUUACUAAAAAACAAAACAAAAUGCACUACAAUCAUCUAUCAACGUUCCUCUAUAAGAAUCGAAGAAAAAAAUUUUUUAUUUUAAAUGUGGGGGGAUGCAAUAUUUUUUGGUGCCAAAAAAAUUUUUUUUGUACAACUACAAAAAAAGUUGUUGUCACUACUAUCAACUACUAACCAAUAUCUAUUAAAUGAAUCCAAAAAAAAACAUUUUUUCCAAAGUCGGGUGCCAAGUUCACACAGCCGAACAUUCAAAUAACAAUUAUAGUAAGAACACUAUUA